UUUUCAUUUCUGGUCACAUUUAGUGGGCGGGACAGCCUGGAUCGAUACCCAGGGUACACAUUGCUAACGUUUUGUUUAACAAAAGGACGUGAUACUGCAAAGCAACAUGAAUGAACCGAGUCUGUUUCACUGCUUUCCUGCAGGAAGCACGUAAACAUGAAGCAAAGCUGCAGAGUUCAAUGACGCUGCUGUACCAACAAGCUGUCCGCCUGCACAGCAUUACACAUAAACACACUGCUGUCUGUCACUGCGGGGCCUGCGGCGGGGAAACGGCUCUGCUUCCCCGCAGCCCGGGUCACAAGCAGAGAGAGAAACCUGUGAGGAGAGAAAGAAGCAGACAUGAGGAGUACCCACCGUCUGAACAGAGGAUUGAGACGGGAGAUUCCUCACUUUCUAUCAGAUGCAAGCCGCCAUAUUCGCUGCAGCUCCGCGCAUGUCCACCACGCAGUGCUGUUACUCAUGUUUCUGCUCUGCAGCCUGCAGCUGAGGGAACAAGGAAACACCGACAGAAUGAAGGAGAAAUACCUGAAGGAAGGUCACAGAGAGAGAUCUAUCGAUCCGUGAUCACAUGAAUCAUUGGGAGAAUAAAUAGUUUCAAUGAUAUUAUCAACCAACCAAAUGAAUUAGAAUGAUACCUUAAAAACACUUUAAAUGUGGAUUGAUAAAAAUUUGGACCAAAAAUAAAAAAUACUGUGACAUAAAAGCUUCUUAGUGUGUGAAUAAACAAAGAUUAAUGAACA
Molecule: long non-coding RNA, 740 nt
Organism: Notolabrus celidotus (New Zealand spotty)
Lineage: Eukaryota; Metazoa; Chordata; Actinopteri; Labriformes; Labridae
Exons: 2
Source: RefSeq, a predicted model, not a curated record